Equus quagga is the source of this 4828-nucleotide long non-coding RNA. RefSeq lists it as uncharacterized. The record is from RefSeq and is a predicted model, not a curated record. NCBI's taxonomy places the organism in Eukaryota, Metazoa, Chordata, Mammalia, Perissodactyla, Equidae. The transcript is spliced from 5 exons.
GGUCACGCAGCCAGUUAUGGCUGAGAUGGUAUGCAAACCCAGGCAGGUCAGGGCAGAAAGCCAAAGGUGGCGGUGGACCCAUGCCCACCCCAGGGUGGGGCUGUGCACCGUGGCUGUUCCCUGGCGAGAGGAAAGACGUCAAGAAUGUUUGACAGAGCUCAGCGUGAUGGUGACAUCCAGGCAGAGGGGCAUUCCACAGCUCCCAGUCAUCUGACUAUGGAGCUCUCACAGGCACUUCCUUAACCCCUGGGGACAUUUGGCUCUCCUGGGGCUGGGCAAUGAAGUUCCCGAGGCUCACGUGGAAGUCAGAGAGGGGGUGAGGCUGGUGCUCGAGGGAGCAUAAACGGACCCCUCUGGCUGCAGGUGGGUGAUGGCCUCAGGGACUGUGCAGAGGCCGGAGACCACGGAGGCGGUGACUGCGAUAGUUCCGGUCGGAGAGGAUGGAGGGCAGACCAGGGUGACCACGGAGGCAUUUUACAGACCCAAAAAAAUGCGAAGGGUCUUCCCAGCCGCCAGGCUUACACUGAGAACACUUUCUGGGAUGUUCUUGGGACUGUGACCUGAAUGGGGACCACGGAUCCUGGGCAAAAUCAUGCAAUGACUUUCCUCUUCCUAGGAGCAGGAAUGUAGACGUGAUGGCAGUGCCAGAGCAGUUACCUUGGACCAUGAGGUGGAAACUGCCGGUUGAAGAUGGAAGAGCAGCUGUAAGAUAGCAAGAAUCUGAGUCCCUGAUACCACGAAGCUGAUGUGGGCUCGGCGAGCUGAGGAGUCAGAAGAAAGAUUUCUUGGAGUCUUAAGCAUGGAGCCUGCAUCUCGCCAGUGCAUCUCUUAAAUAAACGUAUGGAUGAGUGCAUGACGGGGAGCCGUGAGGUCCAGCCCUGCACCUGGAAAAAGGCACAAAGACCACACUCAAGCCUGGGUGGAAGCAUCGUCCAAAUGCAGUGGAAAAAUUUAUGGCCAGAGGAACUAGUUCCAAACCUGGCCCUUCUCCUCGCUUGCUGUGUGCCCCUGGAUAACCCACGUGCCCUCUCUGGGCCUGACACUCCUUGGUUGCAAACCAGGCUUAGCAAAUUCAUGGACUCUGUGCAAUUUAAAGAUUUUCAUUGCUCUUUGCAAUUCUAUUUCUAGAAAUCCAUUCCCAGAGAAAUUCUCACCUCACACCCCAUGAACACAGGUACAAGGAUGUAGCUUGGUUUGUGGAGUAAAACCCUGGAAAUAUCCUCAAAGGUGAUUAAUUAAACUGUGGCACAUUCAUGUUCUAGAGUGCUAGAGAGCUGACUGUGGCCGCGAGGAAUUCUCUGGUGACACUUGCUGGCACAGAAUGACACUGCAGCCCAGCUCAGCAAGGCACUGGGAAUUUCCAGAACCAGAGAGGCUCAGGGUAGCUGUGAGGAUGGUCUGGGAAGCCAUAGACCAGGGGGAGGUUUGGGAGGACGGCUGAGGCAAGGUGACUGGCCAGGGUGUGAAGUCGAGAGCAGAGACCCGGGUGUGAACUCUAGCUUCACCACUUCCUAGCCGGCAGAGCUUGGGCAGAUUAGGGACUUUCUCUGACCCUCAGUCUCUUCUUCUAGAGAAUGAGAUGUCUGAUGAGGAUUCAAAGAGAGAAUUCAUUCAUUCAUCAUCUAUUGAACCAACACUGAGCCCCUCUGAUGUCAGUGGUUGGUGAGAGUCUCCAGGCACUGAGGGUGCACCAGGACCCGGUCCUGCCCUCAUGGGGCUCUCAGUCUAGUGGGGGAGACAAUCAACAAGUAAACGGGCAGACAAGGUAAUUUCAGGUACUGAUGACACCGUAAAGGAAAAUAAAGCAGGGGAUGGGUCUGGGGGUGGAGGCACAUUACAGACAGGGGCUCGGGGAGGGCGUCUCGGAGGGGGUGUGAGCAGAGGCCUGAAGGAGCUGCAUCUUGGAGCACAACAUAUAAGACGCCAGUGGAUGAGCCUGGCACAUAGCAAAUCUCAAUAAACGCUGGGUCAUUGUCUCAUCACGCGGGAAAGGAAUUAAAGGGAGACUGGAAUCCGUCUCCUGGGGUCUGAGGCAGGCACGAGAGUGAGAAGAUUCCCGGGGCCUGGAGGGGGAGAAGCAGCCCCUGGACCGAGCGGCCCCAGCUCUGGAGGCCUUGCGCAAACAAGUGUCUAAGCCUCCAUUUCGUCCUUCGGAAAACAAGGCCAAUAAUGCCCACCCUGUGAUAUUGGGGGUUGUUACGGGCUGAACUGUGUCCCCCCAAAUCCAUGUAUUGAAGUCCUAGCCCCCAGGACCUCCAGUGGGACUGUGUUUGGAGAGAGGUUUUUGAAGAGGUGGUUAAGGUAAAAUGAGGUCAUGAGGGUGGGCCCGAAUACACUAGGACCGGUGUCCCUGUGAGAAGAGGAGAUGAGGUCACGGGCACACACAGAGGGAUGACCUUGUGAAGACACAGGGAGAGGACAACCAUCCACAAGCCAAGGAGAGAGGCCUCAGAGGGAACCAAUGCUGCUGACACUGAUCUUAGACUUCCAGCCUCCAGAACCACAAGACGAUAAACUUCCAUGGUUUAAGCUGCCCGGUCUGCGGUCCUUUCUUAUGGCAGCUGUGCAGGGGAGUACGGGUGACGUAGGACACAGGCACACAGGGCCCUCGAGAGAGGCUGCCCUGGAGCCCGACUCGUGAACCCUCAGCAUCUCUGCGGACUCCAGGCCAGUCUCGAGAUUGCCGCGGUUGCUCUGAAGCUGGGCCCAGUGUGCCUCUGGAUUGCCUAGCCUUGGGGACCCAGCUCACUUAGUUUCUGCCCUGCCCUCUGGUUCAUUACUCCAUCAAUCCACAAACUUCACGUGGUGCCCCUGCGGCCAUUCUGUAAAUUAUGGCGUGGCGGGUGCAUCAGCUGGGGUCCAGUCUGGAAAGCGGAGAUCACUCUGGGCAUUUCAAACAGAAGGAAUGGCAUACAGGGAAUUGCUUAUACAGACGAUGGGAGAGCUGAGACGCCAAAAAGGCAGGAUUCGGCACCCUGGAACGGGCCACAGCCGGAGGCCAGAGGGACAGAAGGAGGCUGUGGUGUCACUGGAUACAAAAAGCCAGGGCUGGAACCACAUGGGGGCUGCCUGGUGGGAACUGGGACCAGGAAGGGAGGGCCUCUUGGGCAGGGGCUGGUGCUCUCUGUCCUCAGAGCCAUUGCCCACCCUUCCUCCAUUCUUCACUGAAUUACAGAGGGGCUGACCUCUGCCGGCUGCAUUGCCCAGACUCCGGGUCGGCUGACUUCCCAUUGGCCAAUAGGUGGCCCUGAUGGGAGACAGGAGGCUGGAGGAAGGGAGAAGCAGAAUAUUUCUCCCUCUCUUCUGACAUCUUGGGCUGCAUCUCCAUCAACCGUGGUGUCUCCCCCAGGGCUCCAGCCCCUGCAGGACAGUCCACAGUGCUUCCAGCUUCGCAGAGUGACCACAGGGCUACUGUAAUGUUACCUCCUCCUGCCAUCCCUCCAGCUUCAAGGUGGCAAUGGCUUUCUGCUGAAAUCUCUGAGCUGCUUCACCGUCUCUUGUUUGGCUUCUGGGCCCCUCCGUCAUCUCGGUACCGCGUUCUCUGCUGGAAAGUCUGUCUGUGUAAACGCUCAGUGGUUUCCUUUCCCGAUAUGAGGAAAGGACCUGAGAGCUAACUGGCAAGCGGCCAGCCCAGAAGGCCUCUCUUGCCCCUUUGUCCUUCUUACAGAUAAAAGCCGGGCGGCCUGCAGAUGGCAGAAUCAGCUGGGUGUUAGGGAUCAAAGGCUGGCCCUCGAGUCAGGCAGGUCUCCUUUUGUCCUAGCUCUGCCACUUGUCAGCUCUGUAAACUUCAGCAAGUCACCUCCCCUCCCAGAGGCCUCAAUUCCCUCACCUGUCUCGUGGGGAUAAGGAUCGUGCCUUCGACUCAGGGUUGCUCUGAGGAUUUGAUGAGAUGUGGCAUGGAAAGAACUUAGCCACAGCCUUAAAAAAGAAUAGGAAAGAGGAGACUUGCCCUACAGUGGUCGAAAGGCAUGCCCCAUUAUAAUAAAGUCAACGGGGUGCUGGCACAGGCAGAAACAGGUCAGAAGCAGAGCAGUGGCCCGAAGCAGGCCCUGGACAUGUGAGAACUAAACCAGUCAGGCAGCCCCACAGCCCACCUCGGAAAGGACAGCCGUUCGGGAGAUGGCGUUGGGGAACCGGCCUCCAUAAAACUGGACCUUUACACCACACUGCAAACAAAGGCGGACUCUAGAUGGAGCGAAGACUGGAAGUGGAGCGCAAAAUUAUGAAAUUCGCAGAUGUUAUAGCCACAUAAUGGAAUACUCUUCAAGCCAUAAAAAGGAAUGAAAUUGUGACACAUGCUACGACAUAGAUGGACCUUGAAAACAUUAUGCGGAGUCCAAUAAGCCAGACACAAAAGGACAAAUAUUGUAUGAUGCCAUUCAUACGAGGUACCUAGGAUAGGCAAAUUCACAGAGGUGGAAAGUAGAAUGGUGGUUGCCAGAAGCCAGAGGGAGAGAGAAUGAGGAGUCAUGGUUUAAUGGGAACCGAGUUCCUAUUGGGAAUGCUGAAAAAGUUUUGGGUACAGAUAGUGGUGAUGGCUACACAGCACUGUGGACGUAAUUAACGCUGCUGAAUUGGACACCUACAAAUGGCUAAAGAAAAUAUUAUAUACAUUUUACCACACCCACAAAAGGUUUACCCCCACCCCAAAAUUAGUAGAAGAAAAGUCAGAAAGUAUCUUUCUGCCUAGAGGUGAGAAAGAACUUCUUAAAUCAAAUUUCAAAAGCACGACUGUAAAGAAAGCCACUCAAAAACGGUCAGGGAAUUUGAACGGGCAUCUCUCCAAAGAAGAUAUACAAAUGGCCAAAAGGCACACGAAAAGAUGCUC